CACAACCAAGGCGGGAUUGGUUCCCCGUUCAUGCGGGGAUGAAAAGGGAAUGCGGUGCGCCGAACGGCAAACCCGCAGCUGCCCCCGCAACUGUAAGCGGCGAGCGACGGUCGAAGAUGCCACUGGGGAUGCCCCGGGAAGGCCGACCCGAGCCCGGACCCGCAAGCCAGGAGACCUGCCACCCCCCGGGCCAAGGC
Rhodobacter capsulatus SB 1003 is the source of this 197-nucleotide non-coding RNA. NCBI's taxonomy places the organism in Bacteria, Pseudomonadati, Pseudomonadota, Alphaproteobacteria, Rhodobacterales. The record is from Rfam.